UACGUAGGGGGCAAGCGUUGUCCGGAUUUAUUGGGCGUAAAGAGCGUGUAGGCGGCCAGGUAGGUCCGUUGUGAAAACUCGAGGCUCAACCUCGAGACGUCGGCGGAAACCCUCUGGCUAGAGUCCGGAAGAGGAGAGUGGAAUUCCUGGUGUAGCGGUGAAAUGCGCAGAUAUCAGGAAGAACACCCGUGGCGAAGGCGGCUCUCUGGGACGGUACUGACGCUGAGACGCGAAAGCGUGGGGAGCAAACGGG
Molecule: ribosomal RNA, 253 nt
Filed under: uncultured bacterium
Lineage: Bacteria
Description: partial 16S ribosomal RNA
Rfam family: Bacterial small subunit ribosomal RNA
Source: RNAcentral